AAUCAAGUUGCACGAAGGGCAUAUAAUGGAUGCCUUGACACUUUGCUCCGAUGAAGGACGUGGCAAACUGCGAUAAGCUUCGGCGAGCCGUUAUACAGGCAUUGACCCGGAGAUUUCCGAACGGGGAAACCCCUCUGAUGUUAUGAUCAGAGACUCUCAACUGAAUACAUAGGUUGAGAAGAGGACACUUGGCGAACUGAAACAUCUAAGUAGCCAAGGAAAAGAAAUCAAAUGAGAUUCCCUUAGUAGUGGCGAGCGAACAGGGAAUAGCCCAAACUCGCUCCUCAUUGCAUUCGUCGCGAAAAUUCGAAAUCCGAAUCUUCGAAAUCCGAAAAAUUUUUUCGACUUUCGAUAUUCGAUAUUAGGAUUUGCGACGAGUGUAGCGAGGAGCGAGGGUUGUAGGACUCCGCCGUAGACCUUAUCUUUGUAGCUGAAGGAACCUGGAAAGGACCGCCAUAGCGGGUGAUAGCCCCGUAAGCAAAAUGAAGAUAAGUUCUUAGGAUGUUCCUGAGUAGGGUCGGACACGUGAAAUCCGGCUUGAAUCUGGGAGGACCACCUUCCAAGGCUAAACAGGCAAAGUGAUCGAUAGCGGACUAGUACCGUGAGGGAAAGGUGAAAAGCACCCCGGGAAGGGGGAUGAAAUAGUAUCUGAAAUUAUAUGCUCACAAAGAGUGGGAGUCCGUUCCUCACUGUGUUCGGAACGGAAAUUCGAAGCACGAAAACUCGAAACUCGAAACAAUAUUUAAUUUUCAAAAUUUAAAUGUUUCAAAUGAUUUUAAAUUUGAUUCAUUAUAAUUUUGGAUUUGUUUCGGAUUUCGGAUUUCGAAUUUUGAGUUUCUGCGACGAGCGUAGCGAGGAGCGGAUGACCGCGUGCUUUUUGUAGAACGAGCCAACGAGUUAGCUGUAUCUGGCAAGGCUAAGGGAGUAUACCCGGAGCCUCAGCGAAAGCGAGUGUGAAUAGCGCGUUCUGGCAAUUGCAUUCCGACCGUCACUUUAUACACAACGAUGCGACGAUAUAAUGACGCAACGAUGUAACUUAGCAAUUAACUUAAUAUUAGUAUUUAACCUGAAUAAUUAUGACUACUUACAAAGACUUAAAUGUGUAUCAACGGGCCUAUAAAGUGGCUAUCGAUUUACAUCUUUAUCUGAAGAAUGACAAACUUAAAAUGUCUCCUCAGCAGGCGGAGGAAUUUAAACGCCUGUCGCGGGAGAUCCUCGCGAAUAUUGCGGAGGGGUUUUCACAACGGACACCCAAGGCGAAGCGCUUUUUUAACUUUAAGGCGCUGGAUGCCGUACGCCGCAUGAUCAUGGAUAUGGAUUUUCUGCACGAUAUUCAAAGCCUUCCGGCGGAUGAAUAUCAGCACUUUUCCAGUGAGUACGAGAUCUGUGCCAAACAGCUCUUUAAACUCAACCAGUCCAUCUUAAACAAAGAGAUGGAAAAAGAGUCUGAGCCCGCUCAGGCUUAAAUCAAGAUAAAGUAUGGCGGUUGGAAUGCAGUUGCCAGAUGAGUCAGAUGCACUAGACCCGAAACUGGGUGAGCUAUCCAUGGGCAGGUUGAAGCGACAGUAAAAUGUUGUGGAGGACCGAACCCACCAGUGCCGCAAGACUGGGGGAUGACCUGUGGAUAGGGGUGAAAUGCUAAUCGAACCCAGAGAUAGCUGGUUCUCCUCGAAAUAGCUUUAGGGCUAGCCUCGAGU
Molecule: ribosomal RNA, 1697 nt
Filed under: Candidatus Peregrinibacteria bacterium
Lineage: Bacteria; Candidatus Peregrinibacteriota
Description: partial 23S ribosomal RNA
Rfam family: Bacterial large subunit ribosomal RNA
Source: RNAcentral